CUUUGGCUUUCUUUAUUUGUCUGUCUCAAAUAAUAAAUUGGGAAUGGGUGCUAUUGCCUAGUAGCUAGGGCUUCUGCAUAUUGCAUUUUACUUGAUUAUUCUGAUUAAAUGACAAAACAGACAGACAUCUGAGAGACAAACAUUGGAGAAAGACAUUUUGGUUCAAUUGGGGGCUCUGGUUGUCUCUCACACUGUACUGCACAACACGCAUUUACAAAUAUCCCCGAUCUUAUCCUUGAUAUUUUUCACUCGAAUAAAAAUUAGGGAUAUUGAUUUGUACUAAAAAUAACAUGUUUUGAUUUGCUUCUAGUCUCUCCACGGCAUACCUAUGAGAAUGAGGUAUGAAGAGCCGUGGUCGACUAUGGCCCUAACAAGUGAGCUAUGGUCGAUUAUGACCCUACGGAGUAAGCUAUGGUCGAGCAAGCAAGCUUCGCUCAGUCGGGUAGUGCAAUGGGCCAUGUAUGGAGUUUUCCAUACUCAUUCUAUUAGUGCUCCGGCUCAUCACUAGUGCACAGAGCGCGCUAAUGGGCCAAGGAACCAUACUUGAUAGUCUAUAUGCCCCCAUUUAGGCUAGCUUGUAUGAAAAGAUCGUGGAGGGAAUCAGAGUUUAGCACUUAAACAAUCUCCUUUAUUAAGAAAGAGAUAAUGAUAGGACUUCUAUAAAGGUACUUUAGUUGAACUUUAUUUUUUGUGUGAUUAUUGUUGGGUCUUGCUUUUCCAGUUACUUCCACUGUUAAUAUUGGCUAAAGUUUUGUUUUUCCGUAAUCAUUUGAUGGCCAAGAAGAUAAAUGAAAGAAAAGAAGAAAUUGGAAAUUUACAAUGGUUUCUCAACAAUUAUAGAAGAAUUCGUGUUUGGUGUGUUGUGUUUUUGUUUUUUUGAAGUUUACUUGUGUUGUAAUCAACCAAGAAGCAUGUGUGUGCUGUGCUGUUGGUUAAAUGAUUGAAGAGAAGAGUGAGAAUUAGGAAAAGAGUGAGAAUUAUACCUUCGAGCUUCAUGAAGAUAUCGAAAAAGAGGUGUGGCUAUAUUUGUGUCAAUUGUGGGCUGAUAAGACGUACCAGGUAUGGCAUCGUCUGAUAAGCCAGAGAUAGUUGAAAGUAUUGAUCAAUUCAUCCAUUUCAAUUGCUUCCGUUAGUUGUUUUUGUGUUCUUGCACUGAUUCUGAAUCUGGGUUGUCUUCACCUCUCUGAUAAAUCCAUUUCAGGUUAAUAUCGUUCUGGAAAGAAAAAGAUCGUAACAAGAGAAAAAAAAAGAGUGCAAAUCCGUGACUGAGUAGUUCUGUUCGAGCAGAAUACACAAUCUGCAUCAGCAGAUUUCCUUGAAUAAGUUUUGCCUCUUAGUUGAUUUGCUUGAGCGGAACAUUUAAAUGGCAUGCAUGGAUUUGUCUCGUUUUGUGUGCAUGCAUUUUUGACUCAGAAUUGACUUAGAGGUGAUAAAAGGAAGUUUUGGGUAAUUGUUUUGGCAUCUGAAACCCUAGAGAAAACGGCUAGAAUCUAGAAGAGAAGAAUAAUUAUCAAUCCAUGGCGUUCUUUUCAACCUUUGAAGUGUUCAACCUUUCUAUAAGCGGCUAAAUUUUUUUCUUAGGAUUGAGAUGAAACUCUAAUAAAGUAUCAUGUAAUUUUGUACUUUAAUUCUAGUUUUUCUUUGGAAUUAGAUAAUCGUUGUAUGAUUGUCUUUAGAUCUUUUAUCCAAUUUAUGUAUUUGAUUUUUGUGACUGA
This is a non-coding RNA of Camellia sinensis, 1715 nucleotides long. The record is from RefSeq and is a predicted model, not a curated record. Lineage: Eukaryota; Viridiplantae; Streptophyta; Magnoliopsida; Ericales; Theaceae.